UACAGAGGUCCCAAGCGUUGUUCGGAUUCACUGGGCGUAAAGCGCACGUAGGCGGAUCUUUAAGUCAGGGGUGAAAUCCUGGAGCUCAACUCCAGAACUGCCUUCGAUACUGGCGAUCUCGAGUUCGGGAGAGGUGAGUGGAACUGCGAGUGUAGAGGUGAAAUUCGUAGAUAUUCGCAAGAACACCAGUGGCGAAGGCGGCUCACUGGCCCGAUACUGACGCUGAGGUGCGAAAGCGUGGGGAGCAAACAGG
RNAcentral lists this ribosomal RNA (253 nucleotides) under uncultured bacterium. RNAcentral's name for it is "partial 16S ribosomal RNA". It matches the Rfam family "Bacterial small subunit ribosomal RNA", at positions 524 to 776 of the family's 1533-position model. The record is from RNAcentral.